Molecule: ribosomal RNA, 83 nt
Filed under: uncultured bacterium
Lineage: Bacteria
Description: partial 16S ribosomal RNA
Source: RNAcentral
UCACGAAAGUGGAUCGCACUAGAAGUCUGCACGCUGACCCGCAAGGGAGGCAGCGGCCCAAGGUAUGAUCCAUGAUUGGGGUG